This 310-nucleotide ribosomal RNA is filed under the name uncultured bacterium. RNAcentral's name for it is "partial 16S ribosomal RNA". It matches the Rfam family "Bacterial small subunit ribosomal RNA", at positions 503 to 808 of the family's 1533-position model. The record is from RNAcentral.
AAGAGACAGCAGCAGCCGGGUAAUACAGAGGGUGCGAGCGUUAAUCGGAUUUACUGGGCGUAAAGCGUGCGUAGGCGGCUUCUUAAGUCGGAUGUGAAAUCCCUGAGCUUAACUUAGGAAUUGCAUUCGAUACUGGGAAGCUAGAGUAUGGGAGAGGAUGGUAGAAUUCCAGGUGUAGCGGUGAAAUGCGUAGAGAUCUGGAGGAAUACCGAUGGCGAAGGCAGCCAUCUGGCCUAAUACUGACGCUGAGGUACGAAAGCAUGGGGAGCAAACAGGAUUAGAUACCCCCGUAGUCCCUGUCUCUUAUACA